Molecule: ribosomal RNA, 274 nt
Filed under: uncultured bacterium
Lineage: Bacteria
Description: partial 16S ribosomal RNA
Rfam family: Bacterial small subunit ribosomal RNA
Source: RNAcentral
AUACGAAGGGAGCUAGCGUUGUUCGGAAUUACUGGGCGUAAAGCGCACGUAGGCGGACUUGUUAGUCAGGGGUGAAAUCCCGGGGCCCAACCUCGGAACUGCCUUUGAUACUGCAAGUCUGGAGUCCGAAAGAGGUGGGUGGAAUUCCUAGUGUAGAGGUGAAAUUCGUAGAUAUUAGGAAGAACACCGGUGGCGAAGGCGGCCCACUGGUCCGGUACUGACGCUGAGGUGCGAAAGCGUGGGGAGCAAACAGAAGUAGAAACCCCGGUAGUCC